RNAcentral lists this long non-coding RNA (273 nucleotides) under Oryza sativa Indica Group (long-grained rice). Its description in RNAcentral is "lncRNA OsLima_12g0004790". The record is from RNAcentral. Lineage: Eukaryota; Viridiplantae; Streptophyta; Magnoliopsida; Poales; Poaceae.
GUGAUAACUUUGAUUGAUGUUGUUUGUUUCGUGGUUGGAGCUGAUGGUGAUUCUAAAAUCCAAAGCAGGAGCUACCAAAAUGCUCAGAAAGGUUUAGUCUGCAUCACCCCAUCCUCCAGUAUGACCGCUGCCACCAUGCCCCAAGCGCUCUCCCGCACAGUACGACGAACACGGGGUGCUCAGCGAAAUGUCCCGUCCGUCUCCUCACCUGCAAUGCAUCAUGAAGGUGUGUAUCUGCCGACUAUCAUUGUUUCGUCGAACUAUUAUGCAUGA